Homo sapiens (human) is the source of this 456-nucleotide long non-coding RNA. Ensembl annotates it as long intergenic non-protein coding RNA 871. The record is from Ensembl. Lineage: Eukaryota; Metazoa; Chordata; Mammalia; Primates; Hominidae.
GAAACAAUUGAUCUUGAUGGAACAAUCUUGUUUUUAUAUAAAAUUUCAAGCUGGUGAUGACAUGUGUAAAAGGAAAAGUGCUGCAAGCAGUAAAUGCUGUUCAGUUUGCAGUCCAUUACAUCAACAUAUCUAAAUGAUCCUCUUUAGCCCAGUACUUCAAUAGGAUGUUGGAAAAGAAGACUUCCACUCUAAUAGGAUGAAAAAAUGAUCAUUUAUUUACAUCAUUCUGAUUUCUUUUAAUUGCUUCACAAUCCACUAUAAAGAAGAUUCGCUCUGACCCUAAAUUUUCUACUUUUUUUCCCACUUUUCUCUCACAUAAAUUAGGUGUUUCAUUCUUUUUCCUCCUUAUUAUUUUAUUUACACCAUUCUGUGUUGAGCACAGAAAGGUGGAAGUAUAUAGCCCUGUUCUCUGUUUUUAAUGCUCUGUAUAUUUUUGUUUCCUUUUCUGUGGAAUCA